UAUGUGAUCGUCUCUCGCAUAUCAAUAAGCGGAGGAAAAGAAACUAACAAGGAUUCCCCUAGUAACGGCGAGUGAAGCGGGAAGAGCUCAAAUUUGAAAUCUUAAAGGGUUUCCCUUUACGAAUUGUAGUUUAAAGAAGUGUUUUCUGUUGAGGUUUUGGUAAAAGUUCUUUGGAAUAGGACAUCAUAGAGGGUGAGAAUCCCGUAUUUGACCUUUACUUUCAACUUUGUGAUACACUUUCAAAGAGUCGGAUUGUUUGGGAAUGCAGUCCAAAAUGGGUGGUAAAUUUCAUCUAAAGCUAAAUAUUGGCGAGAGACCGAUAGCGAACAAGUACCGUGAGGGAAAGAUGAAAAGAACUUUGAAAAGAGAGUUAAACAGUACGUGAAAUUGUCAAAAGGGAAGCGUUUGACACCAGUGUUGUUUUUCUGAAAAUCAAUUAAAGAACUGUUUAUGCUAAGCUGUUUAGACUUUAUCAGCUAAUCUGUUUAGUUUUGAGCUUUUCUUUAAUGCACUUUUCAGUUAACAAGUCAACAUCAAUUUCUUUUGCUGUAAAAAAGCUUGAGGAAGGUGGCUUGAGAUUCGUCUUAAGUGUUUAUAGCCUCUUGCCUAUGCAGUCGGAGAGAUUGAGGUCUGCAACGUAGAUCCUUCGGGGCUAAAUGCAUUUGUGCUAAGUUAUAGCAUUUUAUAGACAACUUGUUGACUAUGAUUUGUCUUGUAGCUUACUCGCUUAUGUUAUUUUACCUACGCUUAGGAUGUUGACACACGCGCGUGCUCG
This 775-nucleotide ribosomal RNA is filed under the name uncultured Neocallimastigales. RNAcentral describes it as "partial large subunit ribosomal RNA". It matches the Rfam family "Eukaryotic large subunit ribosomal RNA", at positions 24 to 643 of the family's 3401-position model. Lineage: Eukaryota; Fungi; Neocallimastigomycota; Neocallimastigomycetes; Neocallimastigales. The record is from RNAcentral.